This 76-nucleotide transfer RNA is filed under the name Mycobacterium cookii. RNAcentral describes it as "tRNA-Leu". It matches the Rfam family "tRNA". Rfam says of the family: Transfer RNA (tRNA) molecules are approximately 80 nucleotides in length. The record is from RNAcentral. Lineage: Bacteria; Bacillati; Actinomycetota; Actinomycetes; Mycobacteriales; Mycobacteriaceae. RNAcentral also lists the same sequence under 4 other names.
GCGCUCGUAGCCCAACGGCAGAGGCACCACGUUUAGGUCGUGGCCAGUGAGAGUUCGAAUCUCUCCGAGCGCACCA